Molecule: long non-coding RNA, 3344 nt
Filed under: Equus caballus (horse)
Lineage: Eukaryota; Metazoa; Chordata; Mammalia; Perissodactyla; Equidae
Description: lncRNA (ENSECAG00000033037.3)
Source: RNAcentral
CCCCUGUUCCAAAUAAGGUCCCAUUGUGAGGUACUGAGAGUUAGGACUUCAACACAUGAUUUUUGAGGGAGCGCAGUGAGAUCCACAACACAGUCACGCUGUGUGCCUUUCUGCAUGAUUUCUGUGUCCAGGACCUUGGCUUUCUCCUGCUUUCCUCUUCCUUAUAUCACACAGUUCUGGUUCCAAACUAGUAUUUAGUAAACCCACACCCACAGGUCACCUAUGGCAGUGCUCCGUAUUCUGAGCACAGCUGACUUCCCACCUUACAGUUCAGGCCCUGUGCUCUGGGAAGAAAGGAAGUUUGCUGUCUUAGGAACAUCCCAGACGAUAAGGAGCUAAGAGAACAACUUGUCUGAAGGACCCUUUGAUGACCCACUCAUCCUUCCUACACUCACGCUGUCUUUGCUUGUGUCUCCUUACUCACCGACUUUUCCUCUUAGCAAAUUCCUUCAGACAAAGAGUCUCCUACCUCCUUAAGCCCAGCCCGCCCCAAGAGAGGAUCUCGCAGGCAGGCCAUGCAUAGAGAUGAUCAGCAUGGGCACCGCAGAGCAAGGUUAAUGAAGAGAAGUUUUAAUUCUAUGGCCAUCUCCACACCCCCUCUCCAUUUAUAUUUUCAACAUAUGGCUGGCUUUUUAAUGUCGCUUUAAUGUUUUCUCUUGUAUUUAAUUAUUUAAAGAUUUAAUAAGAAACUGCUGAGAAUCAAUUGCACACAAGGGACACAUUUCUUUGAAUUUUUGUUCUUUUUUCUCUGCUUUUGCAUAAGAGUUAAUUUAAGUCAUUGGAAACUAAAAACACAAAGCUAAAAGGGGGAAAGAAGAGAACAACGUAAAGGCAUUCAGAAAAGGAUAUCUGUAGGUGAAAUCAAACCCCCAACGGCAUGUGAUGUGUAUCUCUUAUCAGCACUAGGCAGUGGCGAUAACCAAGGAACCCAAAACAAAUCACUUUCAUUCCAUUCGUGUCUAAUAAUAGAAAGUCAGUAGCUUAUAUGUCAAAAAUUUUCUUUUUAAAAUAAAUUCCUUUUGGGGUUGGUUCUGUGUGUUGGGGGCAAGGAAAUGGAAGGAUAUUCACCACUACAGGGGUCUAGUUUUAUUGACAGAGAAAGGGAAUUUUUAUAUCACUUUCAGAAUUUUAAAUGGUUUGUUGCUGAAUAUUUUAGGAUCUCCUUUCCACAUUUAUAACUAUUAUCUGAAUGAACUAAUCCAGUUAAGAAGGCAUUCAUUCAUUAACAUAUUCUGCUUAUGUGUUCUGAAUGACCAACUUUGCCAGACAAUAUGCCAGGUAUGAAGGAUCCAACCAGAAGAAAUGCCAACUCGACCCCUGCUUUCAUAGCCACUCACACCCACCCUUGGGGAGCAGAGUCACAAAGGACAGUUAUCGUGCGUGUGCUCUGAUGUGGGAAGGACAGGAUACUACAGAAGCCAAGGGAAAGGCACUCAAUCCAGAUUGGAAGGAAAGGGAAAUGCUUCCUGGAAGAAGACAUGGCUAUCACGAGACCUGAAAAAUGAAUAGGAACACAAAUGAUGAAGUGUGACCUCUGUUAUGUUCAUUUUGUCAAACUCUGUCAUAAACCUGAAAAUCAGCAUCAACAUGAUCUUCAUCAUCUUCAAACAGCACAUGGUAACAAGGAGUUGAUAUGGUCUGUGAUUUGCUGCAGGACAGCAUCCACAACAAACUGCGAACCACAGCACGGUGUAACAGAGUAGCCUCAAAUUUCCAUCAAAGGAAUGAGUUGUCUGAGGAAGCAAUGUGUUCCUCAUCCUUUAAGAGACUGAGGCAGCAAGGAGAAUGUUGGGGAAAGGAACUUUGGGCUGAAUUGAAGGUCAUCUCCGUGGAAUCGCCUCCGGCUGAGUUCAGUCCUCUCAGUAUGUUCCUUACUGCUGCCCUUCCAGGCUGUGCCACAACCACCCUCAUCCCUGCAGUCCAAAACACAAGAACUGGACACGUUUAACCUCCAAGAAAUACAAAUAGUGCCUAAUUCCAAGAGCUUUGGUGACCAUGAGCAAAAAAGAUGGAGUAAUAAAAGAGUCAAGGACCACACGGAGGCGACAUUUCCAGCCACCUGGCAUUGAGACACAGUCUUGUCCUGGAAUGUGCACAUCACCACUUUCUUUAAAGACCACAAAACCCUCCCAUUUUUGAUUUUUCCCUUUCUCUCCCCAUCCGCUGGCUGAAUGUGGAGAAUUCUGAGGUCCUAAAAGGGGAUGAGGCUGGAAGAUGGCAGGCAUCUGGAUCUCAAAAGAUCACGCACAUGCUAACAAGGAGCACCCACAUUGAACCAUUAGAUAAAUAAGAAAUCCUUUCUCUACCGAGCUGGGAAGUUGUCUCCUGGGUGUUCCACAGCUAUUGUGCUCAGGUCACUCUAAAAGGCUAUCUAUCCUGGAGGAAGCACUGUAAAAGAGGAGAAAAAGUAAAAUAUAGUAGCCAUGAGAGUAACAAGCAAACACUCCCCCAAUGGACAAUGAAUGUGACAUUUCUCCUGGUCUGUAUGAUCAGCAUGAAUCAAUUGUGCUUUUGAAGACACGGCCCUAAUCCAUACAUGUUAACUUGAGGAUUUACCUUUCCUCACAACGGUAUAGACAAGAUAAGUGGAGCAUAUGAAAGAGUGAGGGUAAAAUUAACCCACUUUUGGAGAUUCAGAAAGAACUACAGAAGGAAGCUCCCAUGAAUGCCCCAGGCAGAAGCUGCCAAAGGCUUCUGGAGAAAAUAGGCAAAAGAUAUUUAUGAGUUCUUUGGGAACAGGAACUGCUCACUUCCUUGGCAUAAGUGGAUAUAUAGAAGCAAUGACAGAUGGGAGCAGUAGUUUCUCAAAGGUGUAUGCAUGACAUCUCAGACUGUAUCUACGUUCUCUUUUAAGAGGAACAGCAACUUCUCAGCCCAGCUCUUCAGGAAAAGGACACAGAGGCCAUUUGGAUAAAUCAGCCCAGACUUUCACUCUAUAUCGACAAAGAUGAAGAUAUAAUCACUCAAGACCAAAAAUAAAGUAUGAUUGGAAGAUGUCGUUCUCCAGUGGGUUCCUUUUCUUUUGAAAAAUUAUGGUAGUCAAAUGCAUUCCAAAUCCACGGACUGAAGUGUCAAGAACUGUGAAAGGUCAGAGAUUUCCCCUACUUGCAAGGUGACAAGUUACCCAGCCACAGUUUCACAGACACUGGCAGAAGACAUGAGACUCCUAGAUCAGAGACAAAGGACUUUACAACUUACAGCAUAGCAGGCAGCAUGCACUUUGUUUUUAUGUCAGUGCCCCUCUCCCUCCCAACCCUACAUGGCAUGGAGACAAUAUGGAACAGCCCAGGUGGAUGCUGAGCAUGCAGUGGGUGGCAUUACAGCUGAGGAAGCUCAAGCUUAGG